Molecule: ribosomal RNA, 492 nt
Filed under: uncultured bacterium
Lineage: Bacteria
Description: partial 16S ribosomal RNA
Rfam family: Bacterial small subunit ribosomal RNA
Source: RNAcentral
AGUGAACGCUGGCGGUAGGCCUAACACAUGCAAGUCGAACGGCAGCACAGUAAGAGCUUGCUCUUACGGGUGGCGAGUGGCGGACGGGUGAGGCAUACAUCGGAAUCUACUUUUUCGUGGGGGAUAACGUAGGGAAACUUACGCUAAUACCGCAUAUGACCUACGGGUGAAAGCAGUGGAUCUUCGGACCUUGCGCGAUUGAAUGAGCCGAUGUCGGAUUAGCUAGUUGGCGAGGUAAAGGCCCACCAAGGCGACGAUCCGUAGCUGGUCUGAGAGGAUGAUCAGCCACACUGGAACUGAGACACGGUCCAGACUCCUACGGGAGGCAGCAGUAGGGAAUAUUGGACAAUGGGCGCAAGCCUGAUCCAGCCAUACCGCGUGAGUGAAGAAGGCCUUCGGAUUGUAAAGCCCUUUUGUUGGGAAAGAAAAGCAGCAGGUUAAUACCCCGCUGUUCUGACGGUACCCAAAGAAUAAGCACCGGCUAACUUCGUG